GAUCAUGCUCAGGAUGAACGCUAGCUACAGGCUUAACACAUGCAAGUCGAGGGGCAGCAUGUUGGUUGCUUGCAACCGAUGAUGGCGACCGGCGCACGGGUGAGUAACGCGUAUCCAACCUACCCUUGUCCAUCGGAUAACCCGUCGAAAGGCGGCCUAACACGAUAUGCGGUUCACAGCAGGCAUCUAACGUGAACGAAAUGUGAAGGAGAAGGAUGGGGAUGCGU
Molecule: ribosomal RNA, 227 nt
Filed under: uncultured bacterium
Lineage: Bacteria
Description: partial 16S ribosomal RNA
Rfam family: Bacterial small subunit ribosomal RNA
Source: RNAcentral